AGCCCCGAUGGGGCGGGGUUCCUGGAGAUUGGGGGCCCAAGAGCUCCGCCAGGAUAAAUGAGCGGGCUGCCGGCUGCAGACAGGGUCCCUGACCUCCAGGCAAGGUCCAAGAGGAGCUCUCUCCACCCUCUUGCCAGUUUCCAGGAAGAAGAACAGAGCAGGAGCUCAGGAGGAUUAGCAGAGAGAACCGAAAAGAGCCAAUACGAGCCAGUAAAGCCACUGCACGGGGCCGCCAGCCUCAGAUGGUCAAAGCCCUACACAAGAUGGCAUUUGGGUGUUUUGCGAUUGUUUGCUUUUGCUGAGAAUAGAAGACUGGAUGCAGAAAGCCAGCACCAAAUAAACAGAAGAGGAAGAAUAGAGGGGACUAUGGGUGUGAGAUAGGGGCAGGGUGGCAUAUAGCAACCCAAUGUCUUCCCAAGUGGGAAAGCAAGGAGCGUGAUGGGCGUGGAAUACCCAGGAGACCGUCUCUCCAUCCUGGUUCUGGCAGAUCCCAGCCUUGGGCCUUUGCAGGGCCUGCAGAGGUAGCCACAGCUCUCCCACUCCAGAGGCCUGUGUGGCCUGCUCCUUCCUCCAGGCCUACACCCCAGCUGUCACCACCAUCCAUCAACCCCGCUCCUCACAGGAGCCCCCACAUCACGUUCUACUCCUCCUCUCCUUUCUCCCCCGGCCCAGCCCACCUGGGCAUCUAUCUUCCUGUAGAAAAGAGGCAGGCAGAGCUGAGGGGCCUUCCCAAAGAAGCCCCCAUCACCGCCUCAGAUGAAGUGGUCCCUGCUGAGUGCUUUGCUGGGGUCUACGAGGCAAUUCAAGAUGAGAAAUGGAACGGUGGCUUCGGAAAGGCAAAUCAUUCCAACAGCACCUGAAAACAUCGAAGGAAACAAGCUCUUUUUGUGUGUGUGGAAAUGGGGAAUAUAUUGUUUCUCACUGUUUGGAAGACUGUUUUCCCAUCUUGAAAUCACAGGCUGUUUUCUUCCAGAGAGACUUAUAAAUACAUCCAAUUAUCGACAUUCAAUAUAAGAAAUAAAGUUCUGAAAUGGUUUUCUUCAGCACACGCAGAGUGAGCCGACCAGGUUGGGCAGGUGAUAAUUACUUUUAUUUCUUACGAGUGGGUAUCACCGCGGAGUGGCUGGAAGCUUCACCUUUUAUUGCCUUCACCUUUUAUUACAUUUCCCAUGUUGUGCAGGGCUAUUCAUUGGUAAUUUUAUUAUCCCAUAUCAAGAUCUUGAUUUAAAAAAAGGAUGAAAUUUCUAAUUUCAAAAGAUAUGAGUGCAAAGUCCCAGAGUAGGGGGAUUUGGUCCUAUACCUUGUGACCUGAAGAGCAACCCUCCAGGGGGAUGGACUGUCCUUGUGCCCAGCUCCAAGUGACUGAAUGUCACUGACUAGACAGUGGGUGUCUGCUGGCAUUCACAAUUGUUCCUUUUUUUUUUUUUAAAUAGAGAUGGGGCCUUGCUUUGUCACCCAGGCUGGAGUGCAGUAGUGUGAUCAUAGCUCACUGCAGCCUCAAACUCCUGGGCUCAAGCAAUCCUCCCGCCUCAGCUUCCUGAGUAGCUAGGACUACAGGUGUGCCCCACCACGCCUAGUUAAUUAUUUUUAAUUUUGUAUUUUUUGUAGAGAUGGGGUCUCACUAUGUUACCCAGGCUUGUCUCAAACUUCUGGCCUCAAGGCGUCCUCCUACCUCGGUCUCCCAAAGCUCAGGAUUGCAAGGCAUGUGCCACUGAGCCUGGCCUCAACUGUUCCUUUUAGGGACUCUGCUCAGGGUGUCAUUUUAAGAAGGAUGCUUGUCAUUUUAGGAUGGUGUCAUUUCUUUUCUUUUCUUUUUUUUUUUUUUUUUUUUUUUGAGAUGGAGUUUUGCUCUUAUUACCCAGGCUGGAGUGCGAUGGUACAAUCUCGGCUCACCACAACUUCUGCCUCCUGGGUUUAAGCAAUUCUCCUGCCUCAGCCUCCGGAGUGGCUGGGAUUACAAGUGCCCGCCCCCACACCUGGCUAGUUUUUUGUAUUUUUAGUAGAGACGGGGUUUUGCCAUGUUGGCCAGGCUGGUCUCAAACUCCUGACCUCAGGUGAUCCACCUGCCUUGGCCUCCCAAAGUACUGGGAUUACAGGCGUGAGCCACUGCACCUGGCCAGGAUGGUGUCAUUUUAAGAAGCAUUUCAUGAAAGCACCUGCCGGUCCUUCUGUCCAUGCCACUAUCAAGAUGAGAUCACCUGUGUCUCCUCCCUCUCUAUCCACUGGGAUUGCUCCUGACCCCACCCCUGUCUGCACUACCUCCUCAAUGUCUUGUCUCUCCUCCAGCCUCUCCCUUCCCGUGGCUCUUUUGCUGCUCACCUGCAUAACUACUUGGCUGCAGUCCCUUCUCAUUCUGAGCCCCGACUUGUCAAGAUUUUUCUGUAGCAAGCAGCUCCUGAGUCUCACCUCAAGUAGAAGAGGGAUACAUUCAAAUGCUGUCCAGUUGCACAGUUGCAGGAGAGGCAGACUCAGAAAACAGGCAGAGGCAGGGAGGCUGGCAGCUGAGUGCACCACCAGGCUACCCCCAGGACAUGGCAGCUGGCACAGCUGCUCAGACCCUUGCCAUCACCUCUGCCUUUGGGCAUAACUGGGACUGAUACAGCAUCCUGGCUUCACCCCCUGCAUGCUCAAAGUGCUUGAUGGACAGUACAGCCAGUUGCAGUGCCCAAGUCUCAUGCCCACACCUUGGCUAUCAUGUCCCUUUUGGCUUCUGCUGGGGGUGGGGAUGUGUGUGUAUGGGGUGAGAUGAGGUGGGGGUAGAUACACAAAACCCACCCCCACAAGUAAAACCUUGAAAAGUUUAGCUUGGAUAAAAGCCUGAAUAUUUCAAUCAGAAUGUCUAGAAUGCAGCUAUUUUCGUUUUAGCAUAAGUGUGAGUUUCUUGUUUGAUGGUUUGGUGUAAUUUAAAUUUUUGAUUUACAUGCUGGGGGACAGGAUACACAAUUUUCUUCUUUUUUUGAGUGAUGGGGGGACAGGGUCUCCUUCUGUCGCCCAGGCUGUAGUGCAA
Long non-coding RNA from Gorilla gorilla gorilla (western lowland gorilla), 3007 nucleotides. RefSeq lists it as uncharacterized. NCBI's taxonomy places the organism in Eukaryota, Metazoa, Chordata, Mammalia, Primates, Hominidae. The transcript is spliced from 3 exons. The record is from RefSeq and is a predicted model, not a curated record.